Spinacia oleracea (spinach) is the source of this 6204-nucleotide RNA transcript. RefSeq lists it as uncharacterized. The record is from RefSeq and is a predicted model, not a curated record. NCBI's taxonomy places the organism in Eukaryota, Viridiplantae, Streptophyta, Magnoliopsida, Caryophyllales, Amaranthaceae. The transcript is spliced from 6 exons.
CUUACAGCCUGUUCGAGGUCAGAGCCUGUUAGGUUUAAGACCCAUGAUGGGGUGUAGCUUGGAGCUUCCCAAAAGAUGUUGUGGCCUCUUGCAAUCAGCUUGUUGGAUCUCACAAAAUCUAGCAUUUUAUCUGGGAUACUGUAGUUUAGUUGCCCUGGUUUAGGUUCUGUUGCACUCCACUUUAGCUCAUUCUCAAAUACUGCUGCAUUGAAUCUCUCUACAAACCAUUUCUGCAUCAUUUUGCAUUCAUAGGAUUAGACAUCCAUUAAACCAAUUGUACGGGUAUGCUACCAGCUGGCUGGUAGCAUCGCCAAACUGUUAAGGAGGCACGUGACCAGUUAUUAUUAAUCCUUAACGGCAGUUAUUAUUCCCUACCAGCAUCUCUUACAAGCCGGUAGGGGGGAGGCACGUGACCAAACCAAGAGGUCAACGGGUCGCUAUCAAUCGGGUAGGACCCAUUUGUCCGUACGCCCGACCCGCGCCUAUAUAUAUGGGCUUCAUUUAUGACAAAAGGUACGAAGAAGAUCAUGGGAUGCCUUAGAGUGAGGAUGCAACCACCAAAUUCACGAUCGAUGUUUAGUAAAGAUAACUAUGUCAUUAGUAAUAAAGGGAUGUAUUAUUUAAAGUCUAAGUUUGAUUUCAUGAUUUGAGUUAGAUUUUAAUAUUAAUGUUUAAUCAGAUGUUAAAAGUGUUUAUUAUUAAAGUUUAUUUAGUAAUUUAAAAAGGUUAUGUCGCCUUGUAUUUCCCACGAGGGAAAUAGGCAUGUGACACUCCGACUAAAUUAGGGUUUCCGCUGCUAAUUAAAGAUAAUUAACCUAAUUUAUGGUGUUUAGAAGACGGGGCGUUGCAGUUUGGUAUUCAGAGCCAAGGUUCUGGAUCAUAAGUGCUAAACCUUACAGGUUUUGCACGUAAUAGAAUUCAAUAGGCUUUAAGCAAAGAGUUUUAAGGAAUAAGUUAAAAAGAAUAUGUUAAAUUCAAGUCAAGCUAAAAUGGAAUGAGUGUGAGUGUAGGAACGGGUUUAAAGGGAUUUAUUUUUCUGUUAUUUAUGUUUUCUUGAUUGAAUAUGUUAUGCGAAAUAUCGACUAUCGAGGUUACUAACGAUGCCAUGAACGAAGCUCACAACAAGCGCAAACAUUCACGAUGGCGCCAACAUUGGUAUUAUUUUAUUUUAUCUCUCUCGCUUUGGAUCCGAACUUCCCAUGUUUUCAUGUUUAUCAUGUUAUGAAUUUCCUACCCUAGACAGACUAGGCAAAGUUUAAGCAUUACUGUUUUUCUUGAAAGAAGUUAAGUUAAAGCACGGUGCGAACACAAAGAUUUUGUGGAUAUGAAUUGUUAUGUUUAUGGAAUCUUUAAGGAUAGUAUAAAUGUUUAAGUAUCAAACGAGCAUAAGGUUGUAUUUCACGAGUGGUGGAUCACUAAUUAAGUUAAGGUUAUUAUAGGUUUAUAGUGUUUAAAUUAUGAAUGAAAUUGAUUCUAGGGUUACCUUCCCGUGUUAUCCAUGAUAAAUAUUUUGGGUAUAAGUACAAAAGUCUAGUAUCUAAAAGAUGAUUGAUAUGCCUCUAUUAAGGAAGCUAAGAAGUUAUACAUAAACGUUAUGAACCACAUGAGUUAGGGUAGAAGACCUGUUUUAGUUGACAUAUGAAUAAGAUUUUGAGGAUGUUAUGAAAAGGAGUUAUCAGGAAUUAGUAUAUCAAAAGAUUGAAUGAUAGAGUAUCGAAAGAGCAUGAGUUUGUAUUUCGUAAGUGGCAAAUCAACAAUUAAAUCGAGGUUUAAAGCAUUGAAGUUAUGAUUGAAAUCAAUUCUUAGAUUACCAUUCCGCAUAAUUUAUAAGGAUUGUUUUUUAUGUAUUUAUCUGAAAGGAUGCUUGAUAAUCUCCAUAAAGAAAGCUAAGUGAGAUAAUUUAAGGUUUGCAAAAUGUUAUGGGAAAACAUGUUUUGGUGGUGAUCGAAAAGACGAAAUUGAGUUUGCGUAUAAAGCUUUGAGGAUUCUACCAAAAUGAGUUAUCAAGAAUUAGUCUGUGUAUCAGGUUGAUGAUAUCAAUGAAUGUUAUGAAAUUAGAAAUGAGUUAUGAAUGAUUGAGGAAUGCAAUGAAAUUGAGAAUAGAAAAUCGACAAAAUGACAUGUCUAUAAAACCAGGUAGUCUGAACUAAGUUUUCUUGAAGAUAGAUUGUUUCUGAUAAAGGCACAUUUGAUGACUUAGCAUUAUCCGCGAAAUACGAGGGUUGUCUACCUGAAAUACUAAGAAUAAGUAACGACCGAAGUCGUAUGUCCAACGAUGUAUUUUCUAUCACGUGAUUGACUCGAACCCCUGCAACGAACGUAGUCAACGAAGUUAUUCAACGUAGAAGAAAAGAGCGCAGAUCGAAAUCAAAACGAAUCGAAUAAAGAAAGUCAACGAAAAGAUUCCUGCAGCAAGGAAGCUCAAGAACAAACGAAAACGCAAUAUCUCCAAAUAGUCGCCUAAGAAUGAUAUAAUGUACGAAUCACGAUGUUUUAUGUAAACGUGUUAUGAAUCAACCAUGCUCGUGUGUUAGAUCAAAUGAUUAUGAUAUGAAUGUUAUGCUUACGUUGGAUGUGAAAUUUUCAAUUAUGUCUUUAUGAUAUGCUUUGUGGAAUAUGUUUAUGCUGGUAUGAUUGUAUUGGUAAUCUAAUCGUCAUACAAGGAAGCCGUCUUCGAUGGAAGUUUUCCUGAGCUCAGAGUACGAGAUUGUUAUAAUAAAUAAUUUUUACAAAUUACUUGGCUAUUAAAAUUGUUAGAUAAAUAUUUAUUUUCAUUAUAUAUCUUCAAAAUUAUAAUUUUGCAUUAAAAAUUACUAUUUUUGGUGGAAAAUAUUUUCAAACGGGAUCUCACAAAGAAAAAUGGGAGCCUAGUCUACGCUAACAAGUUUGCCCUUUUUUUUUUUUUAUGUUCUUUGCUCCUCGAUCCUAUUUUAUGAAGUAAAGUAGAGAUACAAAAGACGAUGGCGGAAUAUAAUUGACCUUAAUGACGAUUAAGAUCAACAUAUAAUUUUGCCCCUUUUGUAUUCUUUACUCUUCGAUUCUAGGUCUCGAGUUGAAGCGGAGUCAUUAAAAAAGAUGGUGGAAUGAAAGCUAGACAUUGUCGGAAUUGGAAUGAAAUCCUGAGAUCUUGGUUUUAAAAUAAAAUAUCGUACUUUUAUUCAAAUAUAUUCGACUUUCAACAAUCAAUUCAAGUUUCGAGGACGAAACUUUUUCUAAGGGGGUAAGAAUGUAAUACCCCGAAAUUUUUAAACUCGAUUUAUUAAAAUUAAUAAUAUUUUAUUAACGUAAUUUCGUUUUAAUUAUUAGAAAUAAUUUAAAAAUUUCGUUAUUUUAAACGAUUUUACGAUUUAUUUUAAACGAUAAAUUUAUAAACGAAAAUUUAUUUAUUUUUCGUUAACGAUAUAUUUUACGAGACUUUGUUUUAAUUAAACAUUUCUAUUUUUAGUAAUUUCCAAAAAUAGAAACAGAAUUUCUGAAUUUUAGCCAACCAUGUGAAAUUACGAAAAUGCCCUUGGAGCACCAAGAUUCCAUUUCCCUUUCUUCUCUUCCUUGCUCCCCACGUACAAAGUAAGGAGGAAAUUUCCUUCCUUCCUUCUUUCCUCAUUUCAGUCUCCAUUCAAAACAAAAAUCAAGUUUGCUUCUUCCACUUCAAUCCUUUACAAAUUCAACAAUUUCAGAAUUUCCAUUUGCAAAAACAAGAGACCAAUUCCACUUCUUUUUCUCUCUUCUCUGAUUCAAGCAAUCAAUCACCACCAUCACUGAAACCACCGUGACAACCACCGUCCACCACCACCAUUAUCUGCUGCCCAGCACCACCAUCUCAACCAUGCACCAACCACCAACGCCACCUUGUAGCAACCACAAACACCCCCGCAUUCCCUGCUUCCCCUCCCCUGUUCGUACUCCCUCUCCCUUUCCCUUACUGUUCCGCCACCGCAAGACCAACCACCAUCAAUCACCGCCGCCUCCCUACCAUCAUUGCUCACCCCACCUACCUUCAUCGCCGGUAAGAACCCGACCCAAAUACCCCACUCAAACUCCCCUGCUUCCCAGUUUUCGCACCCCACCUCUGCCUUGCACUCCUCUUCUCUCCGCCGCAGGCACCGCCGUGCCACCACGCUCCACCUCCCUUCUUGUUUGCGCAGCCACCGCACCCCUUGAACCACCUAAGCCACCUCACAAAAGUCCCCUGCCCUCCUCUUCUUUUCGCACAAACCUCCCCCUUCCUUGCUGUUUCGCCGCCGCGAAACCACACCAGCACCACCGUCUCUCCGGCGCGUCCCUGCUGCGCCGCCGACCACCAUCUUCCCUCUCCUUCCUCCUCGUGCUUCCCUCCUCCUUCGUGCGCUUCCCUUCCCUGUUCGUGCCCUGUUUCGCACCCCCCCUUCCCUCUUUGGUCGACUUUCAGAAAAACCAAAAACCAAAUGCCUGAUCUUGUUUGCUUGCUUUAAUAAACCCAAAUCAAAGCUAGCCCAAUUCUAAACUCUUGGGCUUUUGGUAAGGCAAUUAUAAAUUUUCAGAUUUCAAUUAAUCAAUAUUUAUAUUAUAAUAAAUUUGUACUAUAUAAUUCUUUACUAAUAAAAUUACUUAUUGUUUUUCAGGUUUAAUUAUUGAUUAGAAAAAAAAUAAUAAAUUUACUAGCUUUAUAAAUCAAAAAUGGAAUUUAAAUAAUAUUUUUUUUAUGUAAAUCAAUUUAUGAAAUAUAUAUAUAUAUUUCGAUUCACUACUACAAAAUGCGUGUAAUGUCGACGCGGUAGCCUCGACGCCAAGGGCUGAGCGUUAGAGCUAAUUUUUGGCCGCGUGGGUUUUCGACGCCUUUCCUUGUCUAAAACAUUUGUAGACCUGAUAAGGCGUCGAGAUAUUAGUUUAACCGCAGAUGACCCGCACGUGAUUCGCCAAUGUCACCGCUUCAUAUUUCUAAGAAAAGUAAACCGCCCCACUUCUCUCACACAUUCACCCUAACUCCGACGAUGAACUCCUUCACUCCAUCUGCAUUUUGCUGGAAAAAUUCCUCAUUUCUUCCAGAUCCACUCUCAAAUGUUAAUGGAGGUGCAGGUCGAAGUUGUAGGAUGAUUCUGUUAUAUUUUUUGAGAGAAUAUCACGUGAGGAAUCAGAAAAAGUUGAGGCGAUUAGCUUCGAGAAGAGUAGUGAUAUGACGCCCUGUCAACUCAUCGCUCGAUGCUUAUGGUUUUUGUUGUUGCUCAAUACCAUGAGAUGAAUGCUAAGACAGCAGCAGAACACUAAAAACAGAAGAAAACAGCAGCACAUGCACUUCUGAAUUCUGAUAUGUUCAAAUUGGUUCUUCUGAUAGACUAACCAUCUUUCUAAGCAAGCCCCCAAGCUUUCCCAUGUCUACCAUCCUGCAAAAACAAACCCCAAAUACCUCAGUAAUCAAAACAGAAAAACACGACGACAAAAAACAUAAAUAAGACAUGCAAUUCAGGUCUAUAUUACUACACAAUAAAGUGAAUUUCAGGCCUCAUCCAAAUGAAUGCUCUGGAAGUGAUUGGUAGGUUAUUCCUGGUGAAAACUCCAUAACCCACAUGCGAAUUCAGGAUUAUUAAAAGAUUUUGGAAGUUGAAGACGAUGCAACAGACGGGAUAUAAGAUUAAGUUAUCGAAAGCUCGCUUUGAAAUGGCAUCCGGAUAAACGCAAGGACGAUAGUGUUGUUGUAGACUUGCAGCCAAAUUUCAAAAUAUUAAUGAAGCUUAUAGAGAGAAAUGUGAAAGAUAGCCAUGAAGAUUCUUUUAUAAGAGAAGAGGAUCAUCGGCCAAUCAGCCCCACUGUUUACUCUGCAGAAAUUCAAAUCAGCUGAAAAGAUAAGACAAUUGCAGACAUCGUCUUCAAGGUGAUACGAGUAGGAUUUCUGCUAGAUCUGAGAAUCGUGUUUUAAGCACCAAGCCAAAUCCUCUGCUUGCUGAAAAUUAUCAUUCACCCUCUCUGGUGCCGAACACGUAUGAAAAGCUUGUACGAACCGAAAUGCAUAACUUACAUGCAUAAAGCUGAGGUUGCUAGAGAGGAGACAGAGUUGGGAUUCUAUAUUGAUUUGACGCCCUGUUGUUAUCCAUUGAUUGUAUUCUUUGUUAGAUAAUUUUUUGCAAAGUAUUAGGUUUUAUAUUUGAGGGAGUUUUGAUGUAAGCAUACCCAUGUAACUGAUAUUUUUUUUAUUCAUAUUUUUUGAAAUAUAACAAGUUAACGUGAAAA